UAGUGCUGCAAUGCAAACAUUGCAGUUUCUGAAAAACUGCAGUGUUUUACAUUGCAGAACUA
This 62-nucleotide microRNA precursor is filed under the name Pelobates cultripes (western spadefoot toad). Lineage: Eukaryota; Metazoa; Chordata; Amphibia; Anura; Pelobatidae. The record is from RNAcentral.